Molecule: non-coding RNA, 1552 nt
Organism: Odocoileus virginianus texanus
Lineage: Eukaryota; Metazoa; Chordata; Mammalia; Artiodactyla; Cervidae
Source: RefSeq, a predicted model, not a curated record
UGUUUGUCAUGCUCAUUGAGUGACAGGACCACAGAGGACAGAGACACAGACAUCAUUCUCUCUCAAUAUCUCUCCCAUUUCUCAGCCCUCAUACACCUGGGCAAUCCAAUGGUCGGAAGACUUACCCCCUAACAUGAUGUAAUCCCUGAUGAAGGGGACCUGGAAAAACAUGUUCAGUGUCAUAAGAUGUGGGCGGAUGCCAGGGAAGAUCGAGGAGAAGCCAGUGGCCUCAGUGCACAGGCCUGGAGCAGAGGAGAUGCUCUGGGAGACCGUGGAAUGAAGAGGGAGAGAGAGCGGACUCAUGAAGGGAUUAAGCCAAUAUAGCCCACCAGGGGAGGGAGGCCUCCUGCCCAAGGCAGAGUCAUGCAUUUGACAGUAACUCCAGUUGUAAAGAGAGCCAGAUGCUGUCCUGAGGUCUCCAGGAUGACCUGAUGUCUCAUGGAAUCCACACAACCCAAUGAUGUAUGCUGUAUCAUCUCUACAUAUGAAGAAAUGGAGGCUCAGAAAGGCUAUUUUAUUAUAUUCAAUAAGGUGUGCAGUAGGUAGGUUGCACACAUGGUAUUAGAACUUAUUCUGCCCAGGCCCAAAGAAUAUACUCCAUAUAUUUCUUCUCUCCUGUGUGCAGAGGACAGCUGCCUGCCCUUGCCUGGCACUCUGUUUCCCUUCUGCCUUCCCUACCCUUUUUGGUCAAUGAGCCAUCCUUUCCUCACUGAUUACAGACUGAGUUUAUUCACUCUGAGAUAAAGAAAAGAGCAGAAUGGAGUUGGUCAAAUCAAUAAGUUUUCUUCCAUCAGGACUGAUCUUUGGGUCUGUGGUCAGGCCUUCACAGUGGCCACGAGGAGCUCUGAGUCAGAGAAUCAGAGGCACUCAGAGUAGGAGGGAGCGGACUGCUUAGGGGAUACAUGGAUAAACUGAGAUCAGAACAGGAAAGGCUUUCCAAGAAUGCAUACCAUACCCAGAUUGCAACAGGAUAAAACCUGAGAACCAGUUCAGGGCUCUCUGUUUUGCUUUAUCUACCCAGAAAUGCACUAAUUGUAAAGCUAGUAAAAGAACUUCCUGUGUGACCUUGGUCAUACCUUCCUCUCUCCUGGGUGCCUGUCUCCUUAUAUGAUGAACUGUAAGGCCAGAAGUUCUCUAAGGACAUGACUUUAUUACCUGCACCCUCAAGCAUGGCUGCUGAGAGGUGCAGGUAAGUUACAUAUGUGUGUCACACUAGAUGGCCCACAAGACUCCUUCAAAUCCUAUUUAUUCAUCAAUCCUCAUAUCGGCCGUACAUCUCUGCAGAUGGAAAACCAUGGGCAGACAGAGGCUGGACUCUCUUCCAGGCCACAUAGCGGUGGAAGCCUGGUUCCUCUCUCCCAGCCCAGUACCCUACUCACUGCACACAGUAUCACACUUCCCCAUGGACACGUGGGGCACUACAGUCCUGGCCACACCCCAGAUAGUUCCAUUACUCACCGAGAUGGGGAAAUAGUCUUUCAUGUACUUCCAUAAGAUCCAUGACCUGAAGGCCUGGAUGUGCCUGCCUCCGUGCCGUGGCGUGUCUCGGUCC